This 502-nucleotide ribosomal RNA is filed under the name uncultured bacterium. RNAcentral describes it as "partial 16S ribosomal RNA". It matches the Rfam family "Bacterial small subunit ribosomal RNA", at positions 30 to 523 of the family's 1533-position model. The record is from RNAcentral.
AUUGAACGCUGGCGGAAUGCUUUACACAUGCAUGUCGAACGGCAGCACGGGUGCUUGCACCUGGUGGCGAGUGGCGGACGGGUGAGUAAUGCAUCGGAACGUGCCGUAUAGUGGGGGAUAACGCAUCGAAAGGUGUGCUAAUACCGCAUACGCCCUGAGGGGGAAAGUGGGGGACCGUAAGGCCUCACGGUAUACGAGCGGCCGAUGUCCGAUUAGCUAGUUGGUGGGGUAAAGGCUCACCAAGGCGACGAUCGGUGGCUGGUCUGAGAGGACGACCAGCCACACUGGGACUGAGACACGGCCCAGACUCCUACGGGAGGCAGCAGUGGGGAAUUUUGGACAAUGGGGGCAACCCUGAUCCAGCCAUUCCGCGUGAGUGAAGAAGGCCUUCGGGUUGUAAAGCUCUUUUGUCAGGGAGGAAAUCCUUAGCGUUAAUACCGUUGGGGGAUGACAGUACCUGAAGAAUAAGGACCGGCUAACUACGUGCCAGCCGCCGCAGUAA